GCCCCAGUGGAUCAAGGCAGAUCAUCCCUUUCAAUUACGGAAGAAAUUGUCAAACUUGAGGGAAGCCGGAGGUUCGAACUCUCCCUGGGGCA
This is a non-coding RNA of Mycena galericulata, 92 nucleotides long. Lineage: Eukaryota; Fungi; Basidiomycota; Agaricomycetes; Agaricales; Mycenaceae. The record is from the annotation of a GenBank genome assembly.